ACUCCUACGGGAGGCAGCAGUGGGGAAUAUUGCACAAUGGGGGAAACCCUGAUGCAGCCAUGCCGCGUGUGUGAAGAAGGCCUUCGGGUUGUAAAGCACUUUCAGUAGGGAGGAAGGUAGUGCAGUUAACACCUGCACUAUUUGACGUUACCUACAGAAGAAGCACCGGCUAACUCCGUGCUAGCAGCCGCGGUAAUACGGAGGGUGCGAGCGUUAAUCGGAAUUACUGGGCGUAAAGCGCAUGCAGGCGGCCUGUUAAGUCAGAUGUGAAAGCCCGGGGCUUAACCUCGGAAUUGCAUUUGAAACUGGCAGGCUAGAGUCUUGUAGAGGGGGGUAGAAUUUCAGGUGUAGCGGUGAAAUGCGUAGAGAUCUGAAGGAAUACCAGUGGCGAAGGCGGCCCCCUGGACAAGACUGACGCUCAGAUGCGAAAGCUGGGGAGCAAACAGGAUUAGAUACCCUGGUAGCACAGA
Molecule: ribosomal RNA, 470 nt
Filed under: uncultured bacterium
Lineage: Bacteria
Description: bacterial SSU rRNA
Rfam family: Bacterial small subunit ribosomal RNA
Source: RNAcentral